AAUAAAUCAAAACUUUUUACAACGGAUCUUUUUUGUUCUGGCUCGUGUAGAAGUAAACCACAAUCAAUCGUAAUAAGGAAAUUAGAAAAUCCCGGAAAUAUCGGAAUUUUAAAAGCCCCCUUCCCCCCCCCCCGGAUUUUUGGCGGCGGCUGGUUCGU
RNAcentral lists this ribosomal RNA (158 nucleotides) under Fusarium oxysporum. Its description in RNAcentral is "5.8S ribosomal RNA". The record is from RNAcentral. Lineage: Eukaryota; Fungi; Ascomycota; Sordariomycetes; Hypocreales; Nectriaceae.